GACGAACGCCGGGCGGCGUGCCUAAUACAUGCAAGUCGAACGCACGAAGUUGAAGAGCUUGCUCUUUAACCAAUGAGUGGCGGACGGGUGAGUAACACGUGGGUAACCUGCCCAUUAGAGGGGGGUAACAUUCGGAAACGGAUGCUAAUACCGCAUAGUUUUCAGGGAUCGCAUGAUUCUUGAAGGAAAGGUGGCUUCGGCUACCACUAAUGGAUGGACCCGCGGCGUAUUAGCUAGUUGGUGAGGUAAUGGCUCACCAAGGCAAUGAUACGUAGCCGACCUGAGAGGGUGAUCGGCCACACUGGGACUGAGACACGGCCCAGACUCCUACGGGAGGCAGCAGUAGGGAAUCUUCCGCAAUGGACGAAAGUCUGACGGAGCAACGCCGCGUGAGUGAAGAAGGUUUUCGGAUCGUAAAACUCUGUUGUUAAAGAAGAACAAGGAUGAGAGUAACUGCUCAUCCCCUGACGGUAUUUAACCAGAAAGCCACGGCUAACUACGUGCCAGCAGCCGCGGUAAUACGUAGGUGGCAAGCGUUGUCCGGAUUUAUUGGGCGUAAAGCGAGCGCAGGCGGUUCUUUAAGUCUGAUGUGAAAGCCCCCGGCUCAACCGGGGAGGGUCAUUGGAAACUGGAGAACUUGAGUGCAGAAGAGGAGAGUGGAAUUCCACGUGUAGCGGUGAAAUGCGUAGAUAUGUGGAGGAACACCAGUGGCGAAGGCGACUCUCUGGUCUGUAACUGACGCUGAGGCUCGAAAGCGUGGGGAGCAAACAGG
Molecule: ribosomal RNA, 772 nt
Filed under: uncultured Vagococcus sp.
Lineage: Bacteria; Bacillati; Bacillota; Bacilli; Lactobacillales; Enterococcaceae
Description: bacterial SSU rRNA
Rfam family: Bacterial small subunit ribosomal RNA
Source: RNAcentral